UUGGGCGUAAGGGCUCGUAGGCGGCUUGUCGCGUCGGAAGUGAAAUCCUGGGGCUUAACUCCGGGUCUGCUUUCGGUACGGGCUGGCUGGAGUAUGGCAGGGGAGACUGGAAUUCCUGGUGUAGCGGUGGAAUGCGCAGAUAUCAGGAGGAACACCGGUGGCGAAGGCGGGUCUCUGGGCCAUUACUGACGCUGAGGAGCGAAAGCGUGGGGAGCGAACAGGAUUAGAUACCCUGGUAGUCCACGCUGUAAACGUUGGGCGCUAGGUGUGGGGACUGUUUCCACGGUCUCCGUGCCGGAGCUAACGCAUUAAGCGCCCCGCCUGGGGAGUACGGCCGCAAGGCUAAAACUCAAAGGAAUUGACGGGGGCCCGCACAAGCGGCGGAGCAUGCGGCUUAAUUCGAUGCAACGCGAAGAACCUUACCAGGGCUUGACAUGCACGGUGCGACCGCAGAGAUGUGGUGUCCUUUUGGGUCGUGCACAGGUGGUGCAUGGUUGUCGUCAGCUCGUGUCGUGAGAUGUUGGGUUAAGUCCCGCAACGAGCGCAACCCUUGUCCUGUAUUGCCAGCAGGCCGGUUUUCCGGUGCUGGGGACUUGCGGGAGACUGCCGGGGUCAACUCGGAGGAAGGUG
Molecule: ribosomal RNA, 630 nt
Filed under: uncultured bacterium
Lineage: Bacteria
Description: bacterial SSU rRNA
Rfam family: Bacterial small subunit ribosomal RNA
Source: RNAcentral